UCGCAGACGCCCGCCAUGUUCCGAGAGCCACACACUGUCCCCGCCACCUCCCUCCAGCCGCCCGCCCGGCCUCCGCCUCCCGCCGGCCCCCUCGCCGCCUCGCCCCGCCCCUCGCCCGGGCAGCCGCCAUCCGUAGCCCGCCGGCCGGCGCGCGCCAUUGGCGUCAGCGGCGCGUGGGAGGCCGCGGUGGCCGCCGCCACGGCCGCCGCCAUCUUCUUCCUGCCGUCGCCGUGGCGCGCGGCGGGCUCUGCGGACCGGGGCGCCGCGCCGGGCUCCAUGCCGCCGGGUCGCGCGGUGGGGGACGGCGGGCGGCGGCGGGGCUCGGCGUGGUUGUCCGCGCGGCCGGAGCCCCUUGUGCCCGUGCGGUGGCCGGAGUGCGCCGGCGCGACCCGCCUGGCCUUGGCUGCACGGCGACUGGGGCCGGGCUCCAGCUCUGUGGCUCCCGCCGGCGCUGACCCGGUGGCUCUGCUGUCUUGGCUGCAUCUGUCCUGCAUAUUUAUGAUCGUCUGUCACAUUCCCUGUCCGUGGACAGUGUCCAAAGCCUAGCUCGGGGGAGCGUGCCAACAGCCAGCUGAGGAUAUAGCCAAGUGGAGAAUUGCUUAAGCAAAUUGAAAUGAAGACCUGGCCUGAAAAUUUCCCUAGCUAACAGUCCCGUUCCACCUCGGAAAUAAGCUUACUGAAAUUGAAAACAUGAUGGAAACUUUGCCUUAUUAUUUGCAAAUGCUUAUGAUAUAGAAAAAAAUGUUAAGCUCUACCAGCCGAAAGCAUCAGCCUGACAUAAAUUCAACACUCCAGGGAGUCUGCACUGGGAUGGACAAAAAAAAUAAAGUGGCUGUGGGACUAUUGCAGCCAGAUCCGUUCUUUCUUUCCAUGCUCACUUUGUGGAAGCUUGUCCCUGGGCUUCUCUGAUGGAGCCCCAAGCCCCUUCUGAAUUUGUACUUCAGGAUCUGUGAAUUGUUGCUUGCUCAAAUACAUUCUUGAACAUUUU
RNAcentral lists this long non-coding RNA (988 nucleotides) under Mus spretus (western wild mouse). RNAcentral's name for it is "lncRNA (ENSMSPG00010012839.1)". Lineage: Eukaryota; Metazoa; Chordata; Mammalia; Rodentia; Muridae. The record is from RNAcentral.